This 78-nucleotide transfer RNA is filed under the name Pelodiscus sinensis (Chinese soft-shelled turtle). It matches the Rfam family "tRNA". From Rfam's summary of the family: Transfer RNA (tRNA) molecules are approximately 80 nucleotides in length. Lineage: Eukaryota; Metazoa; Chordata; Testudines; Trionychidae. The record is from Rfam by way of RNAcentral.
GCUGUGAUGGCCGAGUGGUGAAGGUGUUGAACUAGAAAUCCAAAACGCCCUGUGUGCGUUCAAAUCCUGCUCACAGUG